Molecule: long non-coding RNA, 123 nt
Organism: Herpailurus yagouaroundi (jaguarundi)
Lineage: Eukaryota; Metazoa; Chordata; Mammalia; Carnivora; Felidae
Exons: 3
Source: RefSeq, a predicted model, not a curated record
CAGCUGGGGGGGGGGGCGGGGGGUUGCUACUGACGUGCAGUAAGCAGGGGCCAGGAGGAUGCACGGGACACCCCCGACCACGAACGCUCUGGCCCCCAAUGUCAGCAGCGCUGAGGUCGGUCG